RNAcentral lists this ribosomal RNA (630 nucleotides) under uncultured bacterium. RNAcentral describes it as "bacterial SSU rRNA". It matches the Rfam family "Bacterial small subunit ribosomal RNA", at positions 554 to 1182 of the family's 1533-position model. The record is from RNAcentral.
CUGGGCGUAAGCGCGCGUAGGCGGCGGCACAAGUCAGGGGUGAAAUCCCACAGCUCAACUGUGGAAUUGCCUUUGAAACUAGGUCGCUAGAGUGUCGGAGGGGAUAGCGGAAUUGCUAAUGUAGAGGUGAAAUUCGUAGAUAUUAGCAGGAACACCGGUGGCGAAGGCGGCUAUCUGGACGACAACUGACGCUGAGGCGCGAAAGCGUGGGGAUCAAACAGGAUUAGAUACCCUGGUAGUCCACGCCGUAAACGAUGGGUGCUAGCUGUUGGGAGGUUACCUCUCAGUAGCGUAGUUAACGCGUUAAGCACCCCGCCUGGGGAGUACGGUCGCAAGAUUAAAACUCAAAGAAAUUGACGGGGACCCGCACAAGCGGUGGAACAUGUGGUUUAAUUCGAGGCAACGCGAAGAACCUUACCAGGGCUUGACAUGCUCUCUAUGGGAUCCCGAAAAGGAUCCCUUCACUUCGGGUGGGAGAUGCACAGGUGCUGCAUGGCUGUCGUCAGCUCGUGUCGUGAGAUGUUGGGUUAAGUCCCGCAACGAGCGCAACCCUCGUCCUCUGUUGCUAACAGGUUAGGCUGAGCACUCUGAGGAAACUGCCAGUGAUAAGCCGGAGGAAGGUGGGGAUGA